AACGAACGCUGGCGGCAUGCCUAACACAUGCAAGUCGAACGAGACCUUCGGGUCUAGUUGCGCACGGGUGCGUAACGCGUGGGAACCUGCCCUUAGGUUCGGAAUAACUCCCCGAAAGGGGUGCUAAUACCGGAUAAUCUCUUCGGACCAAAGAUUUAUCGCCUUUGGAUGGGCCCGCGUUGGAUUAGCUAGUUGGUAGGGUAAAAGCCUACCAAGGCGACGAUCCAUAGCUGGUCUGAGAGGAUGAUCAGCCACACUGGGACUGGGACACGGCGCAGACUCCUACGGGAGGCAGCAGUGGGGAAUAUUGGACAAUGGGCGAAAGCCUGAUCCAGCAAUGCCGCGUGAGUGAUGAAGGCCUUAGGGUUGUAAAGCUCUUUUACCCGGGAUGAUAAUGACAGUACCGGGAGAAUAAGCUCCGGCUAACUCCGUG
This 433-nucleotide ribosomal RNA is filed under the name uncultured bacterium. Its description in RNAcentral is "partial 16S ribosomal RNA". It matches the Rfam family "Bacterial small subunit ribosomal RNA", at positions 29 to 507 of the family's 1533-position model. The record is from RNAcentral.